Molecule: ribosomal RNA, 791 nt
Filed under: uncultured bacterium
Lineage: Bacteria
Description: bacterial SSU rRNA
Rfam family: Bacterial small subunit ribosomal RNA
Source: RNAcentral
GAACUCCGAUUGCGAAGGCAGCGUACCGGCGCCACACUGACGCUGAGGCACGAAAGCGUGGGGAUCGAACAGGAUUAGAUACCCUGGUAGUCCACGCAGUAAACGAUGAAUGCUGGUUGUCCGGGUCGAAUGAGAUCUGGGCGGCGAAGCGAAAGCGAUAAGCAUUCCACCUGGGGAGUACGCCGGCAACGGUGAAACUCAAAGGAAUUGACGGGGGCCCGCACAAGCGGAGGAACAUGUGGUUUAAUUCGAUGAUACGCGAGGAACCUUACCCGGGCUCAAACGGGAGCGGAAUGGACCAGAGACGGUUCAGCCUACGGGCCGCUUCCGAGGUGCUGCAUGGUUGUCGUCAGCUCGUGCCGUGAGGUGUCGGCUUAAGUGCCAUAACGAGCGCAACCCCCGCCGGCAGUUGCUAACGGGCAAUGCCGAGGACUCUGCCGGGACUGCCGCCGCAAGGCGAGAGGAAGGCGGGGAUGACGUCAAAUCAGCACGGCCCUUACGUCCGGGGCGACACACGUGUUACAAUGGGCGGUACAGCGGGAAGCCAGGCGGCGACGCCGAGCGGAACCCGAAAGCCGUUCUCAGUUCGGAUCGGAGUCUGCAACCCGACUCCGUGAAGCUGGAUUCGCUAGUAAUCGCGCAUCAGCCAUGGCGCGGUGAAUACGUUCCCGGGCCUUGUACACACCGCCCGUCAAGCCAUGGGAGCCGGGGGUGCUUGAAGUGCGUCGCCGCGAGGCGCGCCCUAGAGCAAAACCGGUGACUGGGGCUAAGUCGUAACAAGGUAACCGUAA